GCUGGCGGCGUGCCUAACACAUGCAAGUCGAACGAGAAAGUGGAGCAAUCCAUGAGUAAAGUGGCGACCGGGUGAGUAACACGUGACUAACCUGCCUUCGAGUGGGGGAUAACCUCGGGAAACCGGGGCUAAUACCGCAUAAUGCCUUCGGGUUAAAGGAGCAAUUCGCUUGAAGAGGGGGUCGCGGCUGAUUAGCUAGUUGGCGGGGUAACGGCCCACCAAGGCGAUGAUCGGUAGCCGGCCUGAGAGGGCGCACGGCCACACUGGAACUGAAACACGGUCCAGACUCCUACGGGAGGCAGCAGUGGGGAAUUUUGCGCAAUGGGGGAAACCCUGACGCAGCAACGCCGCGUGGAGGAUGAAGUCCCUUGGGACGUAAACUCCUUUCGACCGGGACGAUUAUGACGGUACCGGUGGAAGAAGCCCCGGC
This 430-nucleotide ribosomal RNA is filed under the name uncultured soil bacterium. RNAcentral describes it as "bacterial SSU rRNA". It matches the Rfam family "Bacterial small subunit ribosomal RNA", at positions 35 to 497 of the family's 1533-position model. The record is from RNAcentral.